RNAcentral lists this ribosomal RNA (497 nucleotides) under uncultured bacterium. RNAcentral describes it as "partial 16S ribosomal RNA". It matches the Rfam family "Bacterial small subunit ribosomal RNA", at positions 28 to 507 of the family's 1533-position model. The record is from RNAcentral.
GAUGAACGCUGGCGGCGUGCCUAAUACAUGCAAGUCGAGCGAACGGACGAGAAGCUUGCUUCUCUGAUGUUAGCGGCGGACGGGUGAGUAACACGUGGAUAACCUACCUAUAAGACUGGGAUAACUUCGGGAAACCGGAGCUAAUACCGGAUAAUAUUUUGAACCGCAUGGUUCAAAAGUGAAAGACGGUCUUGCUGUCACUUAUAGAUGGAUCCGCGCUGCAUUAGCUAGUUGGUAAGGUAACGGCUUACCAAGGCAUCGAUGCAUAGCCGACCUGAGAGGGUGAUCGGCCACACUGGAACUGAGACACGGUCCAGACUCCUACGGGAGGCAGCAGUAGGGAAUCUUCCGCAAAGGGCGAAAGCCUGACGGAGCAACGCCGCGUGAGUGAUGAAGGUCUUCGGAUCGUAAAACUCUGUUAUUAGGGAAGAACAUAUGUGUAAGUAACUGUGCACAUCUUGACGGUACCUAAUCAGAAAGCCACGGCUAACUACGUG